This 1163-nucleotide ribosomal RNA is filed under the name Erigone dentosa. RNAcentral describes it as "bacterial SSU rRNA". It matches the Rfam family "Eukaryotic small subunit ribosomal RNA", at positions 624 to 1824 of the family's 1831-position model. The record is from RNAcentral. Lineage: Eukaryota; Metazoa; Arthropoda; Arachnida; Araneae; Linyphiidae.
AAAAGCUCGUAGUUGGAUCUCAGUUCUAGUCGGGCGGUCCGCCUAACGGCGAUAACUGCCCGUUMUGAACAGCUCAGCCGGUUUCCCUUGAUGAUCUUCACCGGUUGUCUCGGUUGACCGGCACGUUUACUUUGAAUAAAUUAGAGUGCUCAAAGCAGGCGCGACGCCUGAACAAUGGUGCAUGGAAUAAUGGAAUAGGACCUCGGCUCUAUUUUGUUGGUUUUCGGAACACGAGGUAAUGAUUAAGAGGGACAGACGGGGGCAUUCGUAUUGCGACGUYAGAGGUGAAAUUCUUGGACCGUCGCAAGACGAACUACUGCGAAAGCAUUUGCCAAGAAUGUUUCCAUUAAUCAAGAACGAAAGUUAGAGGUGCGAAGACGAUCAGAUACCGUCCUAGUUCUAACCAUAAACGAUGCCAGCCAGUGAUCCGGCUGCGUUCCUCAAAUGACGCGCCGGGCAGCUUCCGGGAAACCAAAGCUUUUGGGCUCCGGGGGAAGUAUGGUUGCAAAGCUGAAACUUAAAGGAAUUGACGGAGGGCUACCACAAUAGGUGGAUCUUGCGGUUCAAUUUGACUCAACGCAGUGAACCCUACCAGGUCAGGACACAGGAAGGAUUGACAGAUUGAGAGCUCUUUCUUGAUUUUGUGGGUAGUGGUGCAUGGCCACUGUUGGUUCGUGAAGUGAUUUGUCUGGUUGAUUCUGAUAACGAACGAGACUCUAGCCUGCUAAAUAGACGCUCGGAUCACCCCUCGUCCGGCGUUUCUUCUUAGAGGGACUGGCGGCGUCCAGCCGCAUGAGGUUGAGCAAUAGUAGGUCUGUAAUGCCCUUWGAUGUCCUGGGCCACACGCGUGAUACAUUGAAAGAACCAGCGUGUGCUUUCCCUGUCCGUCAGGAUCGGGUAACCCGUUGAACUUCUUUCGUGCUGGGGAUUGGGGUUUGUCCAACUGUCCCCCAUGAACGAGGAACCUCUAGUAAGCGCGAGUCAUCAUCUCGUGUUGAUUAGGUCCCUGGCCCUUGUACACACCGCCCGUCGCUAUUACCGAUUGAAUGUCUUAGUGAGGACUUCGGAUUGGCUGUCGAUUUGGCUUUAGGGUCGAGCCGACGUGCCGAAAAGAUGCCCGAACUUGGUCAUUUAGAGGAAAUAAAAGUCGUAACAAGGCAUCC